AUUAUGUUAAAACCAACACCCUGGCCCCUUCUUGCCUCCCUAAGUAUAGUAAAAUAUAACUUGUAUUCAAGUCUGCAGCUGCUGGCUCUGCCUCUGAAUUGACUGUCUGCUGACAUCAUCAGAAGUGGUGGUCUGAGCAAAUUACAAUACUUCCCCAUAGGAUUGGCUGAGACUGUCAACUAGGCAGAUCAGAGGCAGAGCCAGCACAAGUCCAACAUAGCCCUGGCCAAUCAGCAUC
This 238-nucleotide long non-coding RNA is filed under the name Pelobates cultripes (western spadefoot toad). Lineage: Eukaryota; Metazoa; Chordata; Amphibia; Anura; Pelobatidae. The record is from RNAcentral.